Molecule: transfer RNA, 82 nt
Filed under: Caenorhabditis remanei
Lineage: Eukaryota; Metazoa; Nematoda; Chromadorea; Rhabditida; Rhabditidae
Rfam family: tRNA
About the family: Transfer RNA (tRNA) molecules are approximately 80 nucleotides in length.
Source: Rfam by way of RNAcentral
GGCCCCGUGGUGUAAUGGUAGCACGUCGGGCUAGGACUCUUUCCCCUAGCUGGAAGCGUUGGUUCGAUUCCUUCCGGGUCCA